AGGCCUAGAGAGAGAGGCAGGGUCUGAUAGCCUUUGUGGCAGCUGUAGAUCAGCCAUUGCCUCUCUCUUUCUCUCCA
Myotis davidii is the source of this 77-nucleotide non-coding RNA. NCBI's taxonomy places the organism in Eukaryota, Metazoa, Chordata, Mammalia, Chiroptera, Vespertilionidae. The record is from Rfam.